Non-coding RNA from Triticum aestivum (bread wheat), 115 nucleotides. NCBI's taxonomy places the organism in Eukaryota, Viridiplantae, Streptophyta, Magnoliopsida, Poales, Poaceae. The record is from Rfam.
CAAGUACUCCCUCCGUCCGGAAUGACUUGUCAUCAAAAUGGAUGUGUCUAGAACUAAAAUACAUCUAGAUACAUCCAUUUCAAUGACAAGUAUUUUCGGACGGAGGGAGUACAAG